RNAcentral lists this ribosomal RNA (497 nucleotides) under uncultured bacterium. Its description in RNAcentral is "partial 16S ribosomal RNA". It matches the Rfam family "Bacterial small subunit ribosomal RNA", at positions 28 to 507 of the family's 1533-position model. The record is from RNAcentral.
GAUGAACGCUGGCGGCGUGCCUAAUACAUGCAAGUCGAGCGAACAGACGAGGAGCUUGCUCCUCUGACGUUAGCGGCGGACGGGUGAGUAACACGUGGAUAACCUACCUAUAAGACUGGGAUAACUUCGGGAAACCGGAGCUAAUACCGGAUAAUAUAUUGAACCGCAUGGUUCAAUAGUGAAAGACGGUUUUGCUGUCACUUAUAGAUGGAUCCGCGCCGCAUUAGCUAGUUGGUAAGGUAACGGCUUACCAAGGCAACGAUGCGUAGCCGACCUGAGAGGGUGAACGGCCACACUGGAACUGAGACACGGUCCAGACUCCUACGGGAGGCAGCAGUAGGGAAUCUUCCGCAAUGGGCGAAAGCUUGACGGAGCAACGCCGCGUGAGUGAUGAAGGUCUUCGGAUCGUAAAACUCUGUUAUUAGGGAAGAACAAAUGUGUAAGUAACUAUGCACGUCUUGACGGUACCUAAUCAGAAAGCCACGGCUAACUACGUG